GACGAACGCUGGCGGCGUGCUUAACACAUGCAAGUCGAACGGAAAGGCCCUGCUUUUGUGGGGUGCUCGAGUGGCGAACGGGUGAGUAACACGUGAGUAACCUGCCCUUGACUUUGGGAUGACUUCAGGAAACUGGGGCUAAUACCGGAUAGGAGCUCCUGCUGCAUGGUGGGGGUUGGAAAGUUUCGGCGGUUGGGGAUGGACUCGCGGCUUAUCAGCUUGUUGGUGGGGUAGUGGCUUACCAAGGCCUGGACGGGUAGCCGGCCUGAGAGGGUGACCGGCCACAUUGGGACUGAGAUACGGCCCAGACUCCUACGGGAGGCAGCAGUGGGGAAUAUUGCACCAUGGGCGGAAGCCUGAUGCAGCAACGCCGCGUGCGGGAUGACGGCCUUCGGGUUGUAAACCGCGUUCGCCUGUGACGAAGCGUGAGUGACGGGAAUGGGUAAAGAAGCACCGGCUAACUACGUGC
This 469-nucleotide ribosomal RNA is filed under the name uncultured bacterium. RNAcentral's name for it is "partial 16S ribosomal RNA". It matches the Rfam family "Bacterial small subunit ribosomal RNA", at positions 28 to 508 of the family's 1533-position model. The record is from RNAcentral.